CCUACGGGAGGCAGCAGUGGGGAAUUUUGGACAAUGGGCGAAAGCCUGAUCCAGCAAUGCCGCGUGAGUGAAGAAGGCCUUCGGGUUGUAAAGCUCUUUUGUCAGGGAAGAAACGGUGAGGGCUAAUAUCCCUUGCUAAUGACGGUACCUGAAGAAUAAGCACCGGCUAACUACGUGCCAGCAGCCGCGGUAAUACGUAGGGUGCAAGCGUUAAUCGGAAUUACUGGGCGUAAAGCGUGCGCAGGCGGUUUUGUAAGUCUGUCGUGAAAUCCCCGGGCUCAACCUGGGAAUUGCGAUGGAGACUGCAAGGCUAGAAUCUGGCAGAGGGGGGUAGAAUUCCACGUGUAGCAGUGAAAUGCGUAGAGAUGUGGAGGAACACCGAUGGCGAAGGCAGCCCCCUGGGUCAAGAUUGACGCUCAUGCACGAAAGCGUGGGGAGCAAACAGGAUUAGAUACCCUGGUAGUCCACGCCCUAAACGAUGUCUACUAGUUGUCGGGUUUUAAUUAACUUGGUAACGCAGCUAACGCGUGAAGUAGACCGCCUGGGGAGUACGGUCGCAAGAUUAAAACUCAAAAGGAAUUGACCGGCNGAGACGUGCGACGACGACGACGAGGGAGGUUAGG
This 623-nucleotide ribosomal RNA is filed under the name uncultured bacterium. Its description in RNAcentral is "bacterial SSU rRNA". It matches the Rfam family "Bacterial small subunit ribosomal RNA", at positions 338 to 953 of the family's 1533-position model. The record is from RNAcentral.